RNAcentral lists this ribosomal RNA (330 nucleotides) under Streptococcus sp. HFB0003. Its description in RNAcentral is "bacterial SSU rRNA". It matches the Rfam family "Bacterial small subunit ribosomal RNA", at positions 123 to 448 of the family's 1533-position model. The record is from RNAcentral. Lineage: Bacteria; Bacillati; Bacillota; Bacilli; Lactobacillales; Streptococcaceae.
AACCUGCCUCUUAGCGGGGGAUAACUAUUGGAAACGAUAGCUAAUACCGCAUAAAAGUCGACAUCGCAUGAUGUUGACUUGAAAGGUGCAAUUGCAUCACUAAGAGAUGGACCUGCGUUGUAUUAGCUAGUUGGUGAGGUAACGGCUCACCAAGGCGACGAUACAUAGCCGACCUGAGAGGGUGAUCGGCCACACUGGGACUGAGACACGGCCCAAACUCCUACGGGAGGCAGCAGUAGGGAAUCUUCGGCAAUGGGGGCAACCCUGACCGAGCAACGCCGCGUGAGUGAAGAAGGUUUUCGGAUCGUAAAGCUCUGUUGUAAGAGAAGA